CAUGGCUUCUGUGUUCUCAUGGCUUUCUCUGUUCACAGCUACACAGGUUGGGUCUGAUAUCACAGCUACACAGGUUGGAUCUGACAUCACAGUUACACAGGUUAGGUCUGAUAUCACAGCCACACAGGUUGGAUCUGACAUCACAGUUACACAGGUUGGGUCUGAUAUCACAGCUACACAGGUUGGGUCUGACAUCAAAGGUUGGGUCUGAUAUCACAGCUACACAGGUUGGAUCUGACAUAACAGCUACACAGGUUGGGUCUGACAUCACAGGUUGGGUCUGACAUCACAGCUACUCAGGUUGGAUCUGACAUCACAGCUACACAGGUUGGGUCUGAUAUCACAGCUACACAGGUUGGGUCUGAUAUCACAGCUACACAGGUUGGGUCUGACAUCACAGCUACAC
Molecule: long non-coding RNA, 406 nt
Organism: Oncorhynchus tshawytscha (Chinook salmon)
Lineage: Eukaryota; Metazoa; Chordata; Actinopteri; Salmoniformes; Salmonidae
Source: Ensembl